Molecule: small nuclear RNA, 197 nt
Organism: Albugo candida
Lineage: Eukaryota; Oomycota; Peronosporomycetes; Albuginales; Albuginaceae
Rfam family: U2 spliceosomal RNA
About the family: U2 is a small nuclear RNA (snRNA) component of the spliceosome (involved in pre-mRNA splicing). Complementary binding between U2 snRNA (in an area lying towards the 5' end but 3' to hairpin I) and the branchpoint sequence (BPS) of the intron results the bulging out of an unpaired adenosine, on the BPS, which initiates a nucleophilic attack at the intronic 5' splice site, thus starting the first of two transesterification reactions that mediate splicing.
Source: Rfam
AUACCUUCUCGGCCUCAUGGCUAAGAUCAAGUGUAGUAUCUGUUCUAAUCAGUGUGAAAACUGAUUUCUGACUAUUAAGUCAGAUUUAUUUUCACAUUUAUUUUUAAUGACGAUUGAAUUAUUGCGCAGCUUGCUGCGUAAUUGAUUCGAUCUGGUUUCCAAGGGCUUACACCUCACCCUUGUGAAGCCGACCCUGC